RNAcentral lists this long non-coding RNA (1898 nucleotides) under Marmota monax (woodchuck). The record is from RNAcentral. Lineage: Eukaryota; Metazoa; Chordata; Mammalia; Rodentia; Sciuridae.
AAAACAGGCUUGCUAGCACCUUUGACUGAUAGUUGUUGACAAAGAUGCUCUACACCAACCCUUAUUUUAUUUAAAAAUGUUUUGUUCCAUUGAGCUAUAGCAGGACAAUUAUUUUAAUGUAUCCCUAUAUCCUAAAGCUAUUGCUAUAUAGAGAUUGCAGGUUUAUUUAAAGUCAAUAUUGAAGUAAUAAGCCCAAACUUUAGGGAGCCCAGAUAGCAGUGUGAUGAACAGAAAUGUCAGUUGAAUCUGUUUGCCAUACCUUUCUAUCCUGUCUUUUCUUUCAAGACAAGAUUCAGGAAAUGGACAAAGUAGAAGCACAUAGAUUGUGAUCAAAGCUCUUGUAACUAGCACUUGUGAUUUCAUUUGUAUGAAUGCUUCCAAUCAAGCCAUAGUUAUAGCUAAGCUUAGAAGCCUCUUCUGAUUUCAUUGAGUUUAUCCAGUAUGUUCACAUACAAAACUGUUACCACCUUUAUGGUAGGAAUAGCCUAGAUAUUUUGCAUCUUCUUUUACUUUCUUCAACAUGGACUCUGUAGUGUUUGCUAGUACUCACAAGUGUUUGACACAAGACAUCUGUGACCUGGGGGCAGUUUGUUAGAGCUGAGGGAGAAUUGAUACCAAGCCAACCAAGAGCGGAUAACUCUCCUGGUAGAUGAGCUGCCAAGGGUUUGGUGGAAAUUGUUCUUAAUGUCUUAAUGGAUAUGAAGCAUAAACACUUUAAAAAUGUCAUUUCAUCACUAUCAUUUUGCAGUUUUAAAAAUGGAAACUAUUAGUGUAGUGUACAUCAUGUUCAUCUGUUAAAAGGGAUCUGGCUUCAUUGCUAUUACAUAGCUUGAGAAUAGCCCCUGUUCUUCAUCAUUAAACCAAAAAUUUAAUAUCUGGGAAAUUGUAGGAAUGACAAAUGAAGGAAGUCUACUCCUUGCCUUCCCCUUCACUCUUCUUUUUAUGUACGUAUUCUUACACAGUCUGCCCUUCUGAUUUCAUUCUCCCACUUGGACUAGCACUUCGAAAAUAGCUCUGUUCCUAUCUCCCAUCCCUUGAAAACUGCAGUGUGGUUCUGUGCCUAGAGAGUUGAGUGAUGGGAAGCCAAAUGAUGAUUGUGGGUGAUGGCUAGCAGAGGUCCUUAGUGAGGCAACUGUGGAAAAGUAGCCAAGAAUCUCAGGUGUGUGGUCAUAGCGGCCCAGUCCUGCAUUACCCAUCGAUGCCUUGGGUUGAUUCUGCAGGGCAGUGUCCCAUUCUUUCACUGCAAGAAUCUUCUGUAACUGUGUCAGAAGAUGGUGUUAAACUCCUGGAUUCAUUGCAGAACUUGUGUAGGAGCCCUUAAGUUUCUAGGAUUGUUGCUCUUGUAGCUACUUGCAAGGUUCCCUGGACUAUGGAAUUUAACCAGAACUCUACUAAGACUGGACACAACUCAAGAGUGUUUGAUUUUUUUACAUUGCUUUUGAGGAAGGGAAUGGUUUAUUUUGAUUUAACAAUAUCUCAUUGAGUGCCUGUUAGCUAUGAAGCACUAAACUGAACUCUUUGGGCAUGAGGCUAUAAGUAUAAUAUAUAGAGAGCUGAAUACGUCAAAGUCCCCUUGUAAACACUGUAGUUUAUACAUAUACUGCAUUCCCAUGAAAUACACCUACAAUGUCUAAAAUGUCCCCAGCCUGGGUUAAGUUGUGUUUCUCUUAGGAACCCUGUUAAAGGGCAUCUUUUGAAAAACCCAAAGAAUUCACUUUCAGUCCAUAACCCCCGGUCCCCAGUGUGAAUGGGGACUCAAGAACUAUUCAGAAGGUUAGGGAUGCUGCUCAGUGAUGGAGUGCUUGCCUAGCAUGUGAGGCCCUGGGUCUGAUCCCUAACACUGUCAACAAAAUAAAAAAGAAUGAUUCAUAAAAGUUUAUAUAAUAAAAGAAAUAGAC